GAUGAACGCUGGCGGCGUGCUUAACACAUGCAAGUCGAACGAAGCACUUUAUUUGAUUUCCUUCGGGACUGAUUAUUUUGUGACUGAGUGGCGGACGGGUGAGUAACGCGUGGGUAACCUGCCUUGUACAGGGGGAUAACAGUUGGAAACGGCUGCUAAUACCGCAUAAGCGCACAGCAUCGCAUGAUGCAGUGUGAAAAACUCCGGUGGUAUAAGAUGGACCCGCGUUGGAUUAGCUAGUUGGUGAGGUAACGGCCCACCAAGGCGACGAUCCAUAGCCGACCUGAGAGGGUGACCGGCCACAUUGGGACUGAGACACGGCCCAAACUCCUACGGGAGGCAGCAGUGGGGAAUAUUGCACAAUGGGCGAAAGCCUGAUGCAGCGACGCCGCGUGAGCGAAGAAGUAUUUCGGUAUGUAAAGCUCUAUCAGCAGGGAAGAUAAUGACGGUACCUGACUAAGAAGCACCGGCUAAAUACGUGCCAGCAGCCGCGGUAAUACGUAUGGUGCAAGCGUUAUCCGGAUUUACUGGGUGUAAAGGGAGCGCAGGCGGUGCGGCAAGUCUGAUGUGAAAGCCCGGGGCUCAACCCCGGUACUGCAUUGGAAGCUGUCGUACUAGAGUGUCGGAGGGGUAAGCGGAAUUCCUAGUGUAGCGGUGAAAUGCGUAGAUAUUAGGAGGAACACCAGUGGCGAAGGCGGCUUACUGGACGAUAACUGACGCUGAGGCUCGAAAGCGUGGGGAGCAAACAGGAUUAGAUACCCUGGUAGUCCACGCCGUAAACGAUGACUACUAGGUGUUGGGCAGCAAAGCUGUUCGGUGCCGCAGCAAACGCAAUAAGUAGUCCACCUGGGGAGUACGUUCGCAAGAAUGAAACUCAAAGGAAUUGACGGAAGGG
This 895-nucleotide ribosomal RNA is filed under the name uncultured bacterium. RNAcentral describes it as "bacterial SSU rRNA". It matches the Rfam family "Bacterial small subunit ribosomal RNA", at positions 28 to 921 of the family's 1533-position model. The record is from RNAcentral.